UCUCUGUUCACGUGCCUUCUGAAGAUAGUUAAGAACAAGUAAGUAGCGGGCAUCAUGACUCCAUGGUUUCUGAUGAAUUACUUCUGCAGGUAUUUGAUGGCUCGUGGUUGACUAGAACACUUCUUUGAACAAGUUGGAAAAGUAAACUUUGGAUUAUUGUUCUCAGUGGCAUAGCAUGCAACUGCUCCAGCGCCAUGAAUAUCAU
Molecule: long non-coding RNA, 205 nt
Filed under: Medicago truncatula (barrel medic)
Lineage: Eukaryota; Viridiplantae; Streptophyta; Magnoliopsida; Fabales; Fabaceae
Description: lncRNA gene28095
Source: RNAcentral